GCGAAUGUGGCGGAACUGGUAGACGCACUGGAUUUAGGUUCCAGCGGUUCGCACCGUGCGGGUUCGAGUCCCGCCAUUCGCACCA
RNAcentral lists this transfer RNA (85 nucleotides) under Mesoterricola sediminis. RNAcentral describes it as "tRNA-Leu". It matches the Rfam family "tRNA". Rfam says of the family: Transfer RNA (tRNA) molecules are approximately 80 nucleotides in length. Their secondary structure includes four short double-helical elements and three loops (D, anti-codon, and T loops). Lineage: Bacteria; Pseudomonadati; Acidobacteriota; Holophagae; Holophagales; Holophagaceae. The record is from RNAcentral.